GAAGAACGCAGCGAAAUGCGAUAAGUAAUGUGAAUUGCAGAAUUCAGUGAAUCAUCGAAUCUUUGAACGCACAUUGCGCCCGCUAGUAUUCUGGCGGGCAUGCCUGUCCGAGCGUCAUUUCAACCCUCAAGCCCCCGGGCUUGGUGUUGGGGAUCGGCGAGCCUCCGCGCCCGCCGUCCCCUAAAUCUAGUGGCGGUCUCGCUGUAGCUUCCUCUGCGUAGUAGCACACCUCGCACUGGGAAACAGCGCGGCCACGCCGUUAAACCCCCAACUUCUGAACGUUUGACCUCGGAUCAGGUAGGAAUACCCGCUGAACUUAAGCAUAUCAAUAAGCGGAGGA
RNAcentral lists this unclassified non-coding RNA (340 nucleotides) under soil metagenome. RNAcentral describes it as "partial contains 5.8S ribosomal RNA, internal transcribed spacer 2, and large subunit ribosomal RNA". The stretch from base 1 to 117 matches the Rfam family "5.8S ribosomal RNA", at positions 38 to 154 of the family's 154-position model. The record is from RNAcentral.